ACACACGGUAUAUAUGUACCUUACCUUUUCUCAAUUCCAAUACCAUCCAACAACGUACUAUAGUAUUUCAUCACUAACGAACCACUUGCCACUCCCCCAAGUCCUUCAUUAAUUACUACCACCUCGGCAACUCACAUGCCCUACAUUAUUGCCCUUGCCGUUCGAUAAAUUUUAUAUCUAGGGAACUCACCCUCCAUUCUUACAACAUGUUGAGCCAAAUGAUUAUUAUUACAAGUGGAUAGUUAAUAACCACUUGCCACUAUGUACACUCACUAUUAUAGGGCUGAUAAUAGCAGCAAAAAAUUAGCAGCCGUUUUUCAAACCACCGCAAAAACAACAAAUUCGCAGCGGUUAUGAGCUGCAGUUUGGCCACUGCUACAAAGCUGCUGAUAGCAGUGAUUCAAUUUAAACAGCUACAAAUCAAUCAUUUUGAGUAUAUAUUUUAUUAUAAUUAUUAAAACACUAACACCACUACACUAGCUAUAUACUACUCUUCUGAAAACACUUACCGGGCUCCAAUCCCUCUUUUCCAUCGUUAUACACUCCCCACUAGCCCUAACUCUCAGCCCUAACUCCCAUAGCCCUCCCGCCGUCGAAGCCUUCGCCUCUCGCCUUUCGCUGCUCUCGCCGUUGAAGAUCUUCUCAUCUCCUCGCGCUGCCAGAAAGUCGUAUCGGGGUUGCUGUCGCGUCGCCAUCUCUGCCUUCGUUGUCAAGCCUAGACCUAUCCUCGUCCGUUCGGAGCUGCUGUUCGUCCGUCUUCUCUUCUCCUAUACAGCGGAGAUCUCCACUCGAUUCGUGUUCUCUCUCUUUAUUCGACAUCCGUUCUUAACUACUCUGCCUCCUCGUUGAGAUCCGCUGUCAAAUCCUCUCCAACGAUGCCAACACUAAUUUCAUGGAAGUUUCUUAUUCUUUUAUUUUUCUAUUUAAUUGAUUUAUCAUUUGUUACAUCUUUGUUUUUUUGCUAUCUAGUUUAAUCUUGGGAAAUGCUUUUAGUAAACUAUUGAGAGAUGAAUUUGCUUUUUUUGAGAUUUAGAUAUGGUUGUAAAAUUUGAUUAGAUUCUUUGUAAAAUUCAUGUGUGUUAGGAUUAUCUAUUAGGAAUUAGGUUGAAUUUUUUUAUCUGUUUUAAUUGAUGAGUAUCCAUUUACACUCUUUGUCUUCAGUUUGAAAAAUCUAUUGAUAGAACACGGUAUUAUAGUACUAAUUAAUCAAUGUCACUGAAUUAUUUUACAACUUGUAAUGGUAAUAUAACUAAUCAUAUUCUUGCUCAUUGAAGGUUACUACACAUGGAUGGAAAGUAGAAAUAGUGCUAACACAGUUGAAAAUGGUGUAGAUCAUUCUCAAGUUUAAUGUAGUGGAGAUCAGAAAGAUACAAUUGUCUGGAGAUUUUACCAAUCUGUCAGCUUUUAAUGAAAGUAUUGCUGAGGACAGGGUUAUUUUUCCAACAGUAGGCGCAGAGCUAUCUUUCUUUCAGGAGCAUGUUGAAGAAAAAAGCCAAUUUAAUAACUUCUGGUGUUUGAUUGAAAGAAUUCAAGGUGAAGGAGCAACAUUUAAUUUCGAAGUUGAAUUUUGUUCCAAGUUGUGAUCACAUGCUGAUCAUAUAAUGGAAACCAUCCAAAGGCAUUUCAAGAACGAAGAAGUUCAGGUUCUUCCAUUUGCACAGAAGCACUUUAGUAUCGAAAGGCAACGUGAACUUCUGUAUCAAAGCUUGUGCAUGAUACCUCUGAAAUUGAUUGAAUGUGUGCUACCAUGGUUGGUUGGAUCAUUGACUAAAGAUGAAGCAAACAUGUUUUUGAAAUAUAUAUGUAAUUAGCAGCUCCAGCAACAGUCUGCUUUAGUCACACUCUUUUGUGGUUGGACUUGCAAGGCUCGUAACUAUGGUCUGUGUUUGUCUUCAAGUGCAUUAGGUUGCUGUUAAUCUCAAACAUUUGCUGACAUUAAAGAGAAUAUUGUUCAGCCCUUCUGUGACCGUAGGCCACAGCUAAUUCGAUUGCUUUAUGUGCAAGAUAUUGGAAGUGCCUAAACCUUUCCUUAUUCAAUCUUUAGCUUGCUUUAGUGAUUAUUUUUUGUAAUAUGUUUUACUUUACUGCAAUAUUAUUUCUAUAGAAAUUGAUUAUAAUUAUUUAAUUUCAUGUUUUAGAUAAAACUAUAUUCUAUGCUCUAUGAAUGUUGGUGAUAUAUCAUAUAUUAUUUCAUGCAGAGCACAUUUCACAAUUUAAUGAAGAGGCACGCUCUCAAUACAUCAAGAAGUACAAGACCAUCAUACAUCCAAGAGAGGUAAUACAUAGUCGAAAAAGUUAGAGUAUGGCCUUGGCUUGAGAAGGCUUUGGAUACAAUGAGUGUGGCUUUUUUGUUCUAUUUUUUAUUUAUUAUUUAUCUUUUAUUGAAUCCUUGUAUUCAAUUAUGUGUUAUUGGACUUUUGAAAGAAUGAAUUGCUACUUGAAUAUUCCUAAGAGUUGCACUUUCUUGGUAUGCCGCCAUUAUGUUUAGUUUUCCUUCCAUUGUUAUUCAUGAGGCAUUUUCACUUAAGAUUCU
Arachis stenosperma is the source of this 2533-nucleotide long non-coding RNA. RefSeq lists it as uncharacterized. The record is from RefSeq and is a predicted model, not a curated record. Lineage: Eukaryota; Viridiplantae; Streptophyta; Magnoliopsida; Fabales; Fabaceae. The transcript is spliced from 7 exons.